RNAcentral lists this ribosomal RNA (620 nucleotides) under uncultured bacterium. Its description in RNAcentral is "bacterial SSU rRNA". It matches the Rfam family "Bacterial small subunit ribosomal RNA", at positions 9 to 621 of the family's 1533-position model. The record is from RNAcentral.
GAGUUUGAUCCUGGCUCAGGAUGAACGCUAGCGGCAGGCUUAAUACAUGCAAGUCGAGGGGCAGCAUGAUUGUAGCAAUACAAUUGAUGGCGACCGGCAAACGGGUGCGGAACACGUACACAACCUUCCUGUAACUGGGGCAUAACCCGGAGAAAUUCGGAUUAAUACCCCAUAGCAUAAUGAUGUGGCAUCACAUUAUUAUUAAAGAUUCAUUGGUUACAGAUGGGUGUGCGUAUGAUUAGCUAGUUGGUGUAGGUAACGGCUCACCAAGGCGACGAUCAUUAACUGGUGUGAGAGCACGACCAGUCACACGGGCACUGAGACACGGGCCCGACUCCUACGGGAGGCAGCAGUAAGGAAUAUUGGUCAAUGGACGCAAGUCUGAACCAGCCAUGCCGCGUGGAGGAUGAAGGUCCUCUGGAUUGUAAACUUCUUUUAUCGGAGAAGAAACCCCCGAGUUCUCUUGGGGUUGACGGUACCCGAUGAAUAAGCACCGGCUAACUCCGUGCCAGCAGCCGCGGUAAUACGGAGGUGCAAGCGUUAUCCGGAUUCACUGGGUUAAAGGGAGCGUAAGUGGGCUGGUAAGAUCAGUGGUGAAAUCUCCGGCUUACUCGGAACUG